This 216-nucleotide long non-coding RNA is filed under the name Elaeis guineensis (African oil palm). RNAcentral's name for it is "long non-coding RNA (EGUI_LNC018397)". The record is from RNAcentral. Lineage: Eukaryota; Viridiplantae; Streptophyta; Magnoliopsida; Arecales; Arecaceae.
UCCAUUGAACAUCAUACAAUCCAUUUUUUAUUGAUCUCUAUUGAGUUUUUAUAUCUUGGCUGACUUUGAUUAAAUGAAGUUACUUAAACAAAUUAACCUCCGAUCAUCAAUUGACAUAUUGACCUCUAGCUACCUUGGUUCUUGUUGAAUACUAUUAAUUCGAUCACCUUCUUUCUUUGUUGAAUCAUCUUUCUUCUAGCCCAAUCUUGAUCGAUG